UUUGGUUAUAGCUCUGAGCAAUUUGGGUUGCAGCUCUCCUUAGAAAAGAUGAGAAAUGAUGAGUUGGAGGAUCCAAAGGAAACACCUGAAGAGAUGGCCUCGAACUUUACCUGUGCAAUGUUUGAGAGUCCUCAAGCUGUACUGAAGGGAGCUAGGCAUAUGGCUGCUAUUGAGAUUAGUUGUGAACCUUGUGUAAGGAAGCAUGUCAGGA
RNAcentral lists this unclassified non-coding RNA (211 nucleotides) under Hevea brasiliensis (rubber tree). The record is from RNAcentral. Lineage: Eukaryota; Viridiplantae; Streptophyta; Magnoliopsida; Malpighiales; Euphorbiaceae.